CUACAUCUACUGAUAGACCUAGAAUCAUUUGUGGCUGUUCUUGAUAUCUGUACAAGAAAGUAGAGGAAACCACUUCUGGUGUUUUCUCUCUCCAUUUUUGGUUCAGAUUGAUGUAGGGGGUUGAACU
Molecule: small nucleolar RNA, 127 nt
Organism: Grammomys surdaster
Lineage: Eukaryota; Metazoa; Chordata; Mammalia; Rodentia; Muridae
Product: small nucleolar RNA SNORA31
Exons: 1
Source: RefSeq, a predicted model, not a curated record